Molecule: ribosomal RNA, 681 nt
Filed under: uncultured Bacteroidales bacterium
Lineage: Bacteria; Pseudomonadati; Bacteroidota; Bacteroidia; Bacteroidales
Description: bacterial SSU rRNA
Rfam family: Bacterial small subunit ribosomal RNA
Source: RNAcentral
GGGCAGCAUGGUCUUAGCUUGCUAAGCGCCGAUGGCGACCGGCGCACGGGUGAGUAACACGUAUCCAACCUGCCGUCUACUCUUGGACAGCCUUCUGAAAGGAAGAUUAAUACAAGAUGGCAUCAUGAGUCCGCAUGUUCACAUGAUUAAAGGUAUUCCGGUAGACGAUGGGGAUGCGUUCCAUUAGAUAGUAGGCGGGGUAACGGCCCACCUAGUCUUCGAUGGAUAGGGGUUCUGAGAGGAAGGUCCCCCACAUUGGAACUGAGACACGGUCCAAACUCCUACGGGAGGCAGCAGUGAGGAAUAUUGGUCAAUGGGCGAGAGCCUGAACCAGCCAAGUAGCGUGAAGGAUGACUGCCCUAUGGGUUGUAAACUUCUUUUAUAAAGGAAUAAAGUCGGGUAUGCAUACCCGUUUGCAUGUACUUUAUGAAUAAGGAUCGGCUAACUCCGUGCCAGCAGCCGCGGUAAUACGGAGGAUCCGAGCGUUAUCCGGAUUUAUUGGGUUUAAAGGGAGCGUAGAUGGAUGUUUAAGUCAGUUGUGAAAGUUUGCGGCUCAACCGUAAAAUUGCAGUUGAUACUGGAUAUCUUGAGUGCAGUUGAGGCAGGCGGAAUUCGUGGUGUAGCGGUGAAAUGCUUAGAUAUCACGAAGAACUCCGAUUGCGAAGGCAGCCUGCUAAGCUG